AUGGAGGGUGUGGUGAUUAGAUACCGGACUGUGGAGGUGAACGGCAUAUCGAUGCACGUGGCGGAAGCCGGCCCCGAGGUGGACGCCAAGGGGGCGGUGUUGUUCCUGCACGGCUUCCCGGAGCUGUGGUACUCGUGGCGCCAUCAGAUGGACCACUUGGGGGCUUGUGGUUACCGUUGCGUCGCGCCUGACCUCCGUGGCUAUGGUGGCAGCACUGCACCACCGGAUGUGGCCUCUUACACAGCCUUUCACAUAGUUGGUGAUCUUGUUGCGCUCCUCGACACCUUAGGGCUUGCGAAGGUGUUUGUGGUCCGGCAUGACUGGGGCGCGCUCAUCGCGUGGUACCUGUGCCUCUUCCGUCCGGAGUGUGUGACGGCACUCGUCAACACCAGCGUCGCCUUCAUGCGCCAUAUCAUGAUCCGCAAUGGGCCCGACUUCGUGAAUCCCAUCGAGUACUUCAACCGCGCAUACGGCCCCAACUACUACAAGUGCCGCUUCCAAGAGCCAGGUGUUGCGGAGAAGCAAUUCGCCCCGGCGCACGCCAAGCGCCUGAUGAGGCAAAUGUUGUGCCAUUGCUUUAGCCACGGCGUGUUCUGUGAUGAGGAGAUGGAUGACAACAAGUACCCAACAUCACCGCUUCUGCCUUGGCUCACCGAGGCAGACAUUGACUAUUUUGUCAACUACUAUCGCAAGUUUGACAAGAACUGCGAGCUGGUGGCACCGUGGGCAGAUGCCAAAGUGCAGGUGCCGACCAAGUACAUUGUGGGCGACGGUGACAUCACGUACAACUUUGAGGGGAUCCAGGAUUACAUCCAUGGUGGUGGGUUUAAGGAGGAUGUUCCGCUCCUAGAUGAGGUGGUCAUCAUCCCCGGCGCUGGCCACUUUAUCCAGCAGGAGAGGGCCCAGGAGGUCAACAACCAUAUCUAUGACUUCAUCAUCAAGUUCUGA
This 948-nucleotide ribosomal RNA is filed under the name Triticum aestivum (bread wheat). Its description in RNAcentral is "partial small subunit ribosomal RNA". The record is from RNAcentral. Lineage: Eukaryota; Viridiplantae; Streptophyta; Magnoliopsida; Poales; Poaceae.